AAAAGGUCUAUUUUCAAUUUAGUUUUAGUAAGAAAAAUGCAAAGGAAAUCAUAGAUUACAAGCAAUAAUGGGGGCCAAUCGUUGAGAUGCUGUAUAUUUAAACAUGAUACAUUUGUGGCCAAAUACUUUCGAACAAAGGGUCUACAUAUGAGGCGUAAGGCCUGUCCUCGAAGGCCUCCGUAAUAAUCGAUAUGAAUUAUAGCCAUUAUCACUGCAUAGAGUCUCAUUAGCAGCUUGUGCUCCCUCUGUGACAGCUUUCACACACUUUGCCAUCGUCUGGGAGGCUCUGCUUAUCGGAUCUGUGGAAGGGGGCGUGGCCUGGGGAACAAAGGAGGAGGGAAUUGUUUGUGGAAGUGGUACCUCAAGCAACAGAUAGCAGCAGUGAAUCCAGUGAGCCUGAGGACCAUAGGGAUUGAUCAGCUAACCCAGCCAGAGCCGGACUAUUUUUGCCAUCCUUCACUGCAGGCUUUUUUUUCAGAUUUACCUCAGAAAUGGCUCUGAUGAUCUUCCAGUCCUCCCUUGCCAUCCCCGGGGCAGUUACAGCCACUUUGGUCUGCUGGGCACGGCCCUCGGUGUUCACAUAGGUGCUACAUUUCUCAGUAUAUGCAGCUCCAGGAAGCAAGAUGUCAGCCAUUGGUGCCCCGACAUCGCCAUGGUGACCUGGGCAGUUAUGGCAGAAAACAUUUCAUUGGAUGUCCCUUUAAUUAAAAGGGACCAUAUGGGUUCCAUAAGUCAAGAUGUUCAUUUUUUACCAUUCCAUACAUACAAAAGAAUUAGUCAGGGAAUCCGCUGCCUUUCUCAGAUGAUAAAUGAAUGCAAAUGAAAGAGCUUAUGCUGCUGCACAGUAAAACUGCUGACCUUGAUAAAUUAUGAAGCUAUCCCUUGGGAGGUCUUGGCGAGUAAUGCAGCCUGCAUCGGCUCCUAGUAGGAACAGGACUUUGGGAGGGUUCUUUCUGAUAGCCUCCACUCCUGGCUUGUAACCAAGAUCAAGUGCAGCCACUUGACUGGCAACUCUGUGGGAAAGGGAAAAACGUCCAUAUGUUACAGUAAAUAUCCACUCCCCUGUUACUGAAAGAUUUCCCUCUAAUUUUCCAAGACCCUGACCUGUGAAGCACAUUGAGAACCUUCCAGGUUUUCUCUGCACCACUGCUGACGCGUGCGUUCUGAGCGAUGGUUGACACAGCAGCCAUUAUCGCAGCUCCAUCCUCUUUCUGCAGGCAACUGCUUCCAACCACAACAACAGGAUGCGUUGCCUCAGCCAAGACCUACAAGAGGUGAUAAGAGACAUUCAAGUUGACGUGACAAAUUGUUUUUGUUGGAUUUAUGUUCUAUAUAUAUUCAUGUUGCAUUGUUGGAAGAGCCUGGGACUUUUUGUUUUGCCAAAUCUACACUGUAGCUACUGUGCACCUGACAAUAAAGCCUUUGAAACUUAGUGUUACCUUGGAAAACGGAUGAGUUCCUGACACAAUUUCCUGCAGAACCUUUGCAGACUCCCCAAGAUGGUCAUAGCUGUAAUUGAGGUCCACUUCCUUUCCCAAAAGAGCCACUUGCAACUCAUUGUGAAGCCAGCUGAAUCAGAGAUACCAACAUAGCUCUCAACAAAAUGCUUAUUUGUCUAGCAUAGCUCAGAUUCAAUGUUCUGACGUUGCUCAAUAACCAGAUAUAAAAUAUUUUCAUUAUUUAACAUACCUUUUCCUGAUCCGUGCAUUGAACAGUGGAGCCUCAUAGCGUGGGUUUGUGCCAACCAGAAGCAGCAAGUCAGCUUCUUCAAUGCCAGCAAUCCCAGUGUUCAGAAGAUAGUUUGAACGCAGGUCAGAUCUGAGGAACCCAGGUUAAAACUUUAUAGUUUAAGCCCUUUUCGAUUGGGAACUAAAGCAGUUAUCAUUGCUCUUGCCAAAGCCACAACACGCCAUCGAUGAGUCAUUGAUUAGUCUACCGCUGUCUAGAUCAGUCUGUUUGUGUCAGUGUGGUUUUAGUUAGUUUGUAAUGACCAAAGUUGUAAAUGGAUUUCAGUUUCUGCCGGAAAGGGAAUUCUGACAGCAAUGUGAAGUAGGGAACAUAAUUUAAAUAUUGUGUACACUUAAAAAGUUUUGUCUUUGUUUGACAUUUUCUAACUAGCUAAAAUGUAUUUUGCUGCUGCCUUAAUAAAACAUGAAUACUUUGUUUA
Molecule: long non-coding RNA, 2167 nt
Organism: Eleginops maclovinus (Patagonian blennie)
Lineage: Eukaryota; Metazoa; Chordata; Actinopteri; Perciformes; Eleginopidae
Exons: 5
Source: RefSeq, a predicted model, not a curated record